GGGCCCGUAGCUCAACGGCAGAGCGGCCGGCUCAUAACCGGUUGGUUCCAGGUUCGAAUCCUGGCGGGCCCACCA
Molecule: transfer RNA, 75 nt
Filed under: Pseudomonadota bacterium
Lineage: Bacteria; Pseudomonadati; Pseudomonadota
Also listed under: 2 other names
Description: tRNA-Ile
Rfam family: tRNA
About the family: Transfer RNA (tRNA) molecules are approximately 80 nucleotides in length.
Source: RNAcentral